UAUUCCCCUUCCUUGUGCCCUUUCUCAGGCCCUCUAUAAAAGCACAGGAUUUGCUGUUCAUUGCACUGGCUAGAAAUGUUUUCUUCUGUAACAUGGGAGGAGGAACACAGGAUGUGGAGGUCUCUGUAAGUCAUGCAAAGUAGUAUAACCCCCACAGAUCCAAAACCUAAAAGAAUGUACAAUACAGAAAAUUGAGGAAACACAAGUUCAAGUACUUUGCAUUUCCACAGUGGCUUAUUGUUGUCAACCUGAUGCCCAAGCAUGAAAGGUGAAGAGCAUUAUCACAAGUGAGGGUAACACAGUACUGAUUUUCUUAAAUUUAUUUGUGUGUGUGACCCUUUGCUGUUCAAGCCCAUUUUCUUUUGUUCAGUCCACAGUCUCUUCUCUACCUUUUUCUAGAUGAGGAUGUGGAUGUGUUUCCCUCUACUUCAGAAGAAUCUCCAUUCAGUCAAGCCUUCUCCAGGAGGCGUCCCUUCAGCAGAACUUACACACGGAAGAAGCUCAUUAGCUAGUUAGGACGGGCCCCAGUUGAAGGAUUUACAACUACAAAUGCUGCUAAGCCUGACCAGAUCCUCUGCAUGUCCUGGACAGAAUUGCUCUGAGAGUGGUUUCUCUGGGCAUAGCAAUUCCAAACUCAACAUCAAGGUAUUCCAGCAGUGUGCCUAGAACAGGAAUGACCAGGGAUUGAUGGGACCAAAAAAGUUCAACAGGUGAAAUUGAAGUCAUCCAGGUCCCCAUGGGCUUAAGAGAAAUUGGCGACCUGGUCCCAAAUCUCCCUAGCCAGUUUUCAGAUUCCCUCUGGAAUACCUUGUGGUAAUCAAAUUCCCCUCAUGGAAUCUGUCUCUUCCUAGUCCUGCCCGUUGUUCGAGAGGUCAGGUGGACGGCUGUGCAGCUGGAGCUGUAACUCAGGCAACCUGAAACAGGGAACUAUAAGAUGGGAUCCCAUUACAGCAACACCCUGACUAUAACCUUGGCAGGUCAGAAGGCCACUGCCUUGCUUAUGAGAACAGAAAGGAAAGUACCUCAUGGGGUGCUUCAGAAGUUGCUAUAAGACUGGGAUGGCAUAAACAGUGCUUUGUAAACUGUGAAGCCCAGUGCGUGAAAUUAAAGGAUGCAUAUGCAAGAGAAUGUUUUGUCUUCUCUGUUUAACAAUAAAAU
RNAcentral lists this long non-coding RNA (1158 nucleotides) under Marmota monax (woodchuck). Lineage: Eukaryota; Metazoa; Chordata; Mammalia; Rodentia; Sciuridae. The record is from RNAcentral.